GUGAAUCAUCAAAUUUUUGAACGCACAUUGCACUCUCUGGUAUUCCGGAGAGGAUGCCUGUUUGAGGGUAAUGAAAAAGAAUCUUUAAUCAAUUUUUUUUGGUCAAAGGAAAUGAGUUCUCCGAGUUCAUAGUGGUAGCUAGAAAUAAAUGGUCAAGUUUAAUUUUAGUCGAGACGCGUAAUAAUAUUAUUUCGCGAAAUCUUCAUUAUGCGAAUAUCAAGUUU
This 224-nucleotide unclassified non-coding RNA is filed under the name Ambisporaceae sp. RNAcentral's name for it is "partial contains 5.8S ribosomal RNA and internal transcribed spacer 2". The stretch from base 1 to 71 matches the Rfam family "5.8S ribosomal RNA", at positions 84 to 154 of the family's 154-position model. The record is from RNAcentral. Lineage: Eukaryota; Fungi; Glomeromycota; Glomeromycetes; Archaeosporales; Ambisporaceae.